RNAcentral lists this transfer RNA (72 nucleotides) under Sphaerodactylus townsendi. RNAcentral's name for it is "tRNA-Val". Lineage: Eukaryota; Metazoa; Chordata; Lepidosauria; Squamata; Sphaerodactylidae. The record is from RNAcentral.
GGGGCCAUGGCUCAGUGGAAGAGUAUCUGCUGUACAUGCAGAAGUUCCCCAGUUCAAUCCCAGGCAUUUCCA